GGAAAUGUUGCUUGCAACGUGAGAAACAUAACAGUGCUGACUGCCAUUAUGUCAAACAUCAUUUCCACGCAUCUUACCAUAAAUGGCCAAAGUAUUCCCAUACGGUUUUAAUAGACUAUUAUAUAAAGCACGACUUGGCCAUUUCACUGUUGUGUACAAUAUACCUGUAACACAUGAUCUUAAGUAGGUCAGGAAGGCCAGCCUUAAAGGAAAAAUCCACCCAACCUUUGACAGUGUUAAAUAACACAUAUGACAACAAUAUUAUUUGUGAACAAAUGUUUCAUUUUGGUAGCAAGAUGAAACAUCGUUGUGGAAAUCUGUUGCAGCUCAAGUCGCAGCUACAAAAUCCUCAAUGCACUCUAUGGGCUCACUAGGUAGCUAGCAAACGUAGCUACACACAAUCCCAAAUACAAUAUCAGCAUGCAAAGCUGUAAAAUCGCCUAAACAAACUGUACUAUCAAUUUAGGAGUCUACAAUUUCACCAUGUUCAACCUGCAGAUCGAUGUGCCUCACAGAGUGUAGUCUGACAUUCACAACGGCAGAUACUUUUGAGGAGAUGGGAAACGUUGCCCAUGUUACGUCAAUGGGCAUCGCGGUGCAUUCUGGGCAAUUCUGGGACCAGGAGCGCCCUCCUUCAUGGAGUGAAUGGGAAUCUAUUGGGCGCUAGCUCAAAAACCCAACAUUAGCACAAAUUUCAUCAACAAGAAGUACAACAUUACAUUUUUUUUCAGUGGCGUGAGAUUAUCUUGCUGUCUGUAAUACCAUGUAGUUUUGGAAUUGUGACAUUACGUACUUUUGAGGAAAAUAGGCGCGUUUCUAGACAUGUACACUGAUUGAAAGCGAUUGCGUGACGAUUAGUUUAGCAACCGCGUGAUGCAGCAUGACAACGUGAAAGCGAUUGGUCACAGUGUGCUGGGUGGGGCAUUAUACGUUCCGUCAUUCAUUUGCUUCCUAUCUCCUUUGUAUAAUAUCUCUGGCAACAGUACCAUGCAAUGCACCCUGGACUAAAGAAGCAGACAAUGUAGUGUGGGUGACUUUAUCACAGUGCUACGUCAUACCGGCCGGAUUUCUGCCUGCUCUUCUCCAAUAACUCAGAUGCAUAUGAAAAUACGAAAUGACCCAGUUUACAAUAAUAUAAACAUACAACACGGCUAUCUGUGGAGGAAGUGUGAUGGUAACAAGCAGCCGAAGACAGACCGGAGUCCACAAGUGGGAGAAAGAAAAGGAGCAAGUAGCCUAGGCAGCGAGGGCUGAGGUGUCGUCUUACAGGACGGGAACCCUGCGCCUCAUCUUAAAAGGAAGGGGUGCCACAGCUUGUGGCAACAUGCAUCGUUGUCAAGUGCCCGAUGACCCUCAUUGUGCUAUGAGGAGGAAUGGGCUGACUCAAUGCCACACCUCCCACACAUUCUUAUGUCCGACUUAGAACAGUGAGACUACAGACGUUGGCAAUUGACCGUCGCACUGGUGCGGUUCUAGCAAACAAGUUUUACUAGAGGAUUUCUCUACGUAGUAAGCCAAUUGAAAUUAUUUUUGGUGAUCUUUCAACAAUAAAGGUCUUCACCAGACACAGUCACACACUCAUACAUACGUAGGCCUACAUCUCAUCCGUCUUUCCCCAGUCUUUCCUGUGUCUCCCCCCUUUCAGACAAAGGAAACAGUGCCUGGGUCAGAUAACCAACCCCCCUCUCUCUCCAGAGACCACUUCCUGUUGCUGUGUUUGUGUGUGUGUGUGUGUCUGUCUUUUCUCCCCCUUCUCAUCUGUCUGACCAUCCCUAAGACACCUGACCCCUCUCCUACCUCGGCCUGGCUCUGCCAGGUGUGGGUCUGUAUCCUGCCCACCUCCCGCUCUCUCAUUCUGUCUGUCUAUUCAUAGCGCCCUCAUUGAACAUGUUUUGGGGCACAGACUCUUGUGUGGUUAUUUCUUUCAACCUCCGCUCUGUCUGUGGCCUGUAUCAAAACUCCAUGAAUACAUGUUAUGCCAAAAGUUCAAAUACAUCAAGGCAGAUGUAUUCUAAUGGGAUUGUUAUUUCAAACUCUGGGUGGCCUUGGUACCUAUUCUGAAUCUCAGGGUAGUUUGUUUGUUAGUCUGUGUCCCUGUAAAGCCAGCACCCAUUGAUAGCAUCAUAUCAUGACCUGGACUGAGAGACUAGGAAAGAAUAGAACCAAGAGCUACUUGAUACAUUGUUAUUAUAGGCCUGUUUGUUUAUUCAAAACAGAGAUGUUUGGUUGGUUGGUUUAUUAAAAAAAAAUGUUCAGGG
Molecule: long non-coding RNA, 2258 nt
Filed under: Salmo salar (Atlantic salmon)
Lineage: Eukaryota; Metazoa; Chordata; Actinopteri; Salmoniformes; Salmonidae
Description: lncRNA (ENSSSAG00000085865.1)
Source: RNAcentral